UAGCACCUACGGGGGGCAGCAGUAGGGAAUCUUCGGCAAUGGACGAAAGUCUGACCGAGCAACGCCGCGUGAGAGAAGAAGGUUUUCGGAUCGUAAAACUCUGUUGUUAGAGAAGAACAAGGACGUUAGUAACUGAACGUCCCCUGACGGUAUCUAACCAGAAAGCCACGGCUAACUACGUGCCAGCAGCCGCGGUAAUACGUAGGUGGCAAGCGUUGUCCGGAUUUAUUGGGCGUAAAGCGAGCGCAGGCGGUUUCUUAAGUCUGAUGUGAAAGCCCCCGGCUCAACCGGGGGGGGCUAUUGGG
This 305-nucleotide ribosomal RNA is filed under the name uncultured bacterium. RNAcentral describes it as "partial 16S ribosomal RNA". It matches the Rfam family "Bacterial small subunit ribosomal RNA", at positions 333 to 630 of the family's 1533-position model. The record is from RNAcentral.